RNAcentral lists this ribosomal RNA (626 nucleotides) under uncultured bacterium. RNAcentral's name for it is "bacterial SSU rRNA". It matches the Rfam family "Bacterial small subunit ribosomal RNA", at positions 115 to 717 of the family's 1533-position model. The record is from RNAcentral.
ACGUAAACAACCUGCCUUCAGGAUGGGGACAACAGACGGAAACGACUGCUAAUACCGAAUAAGUUCCAAGAGCCGCAUGGCCCAUGGAAGAAAAGGUGGCCUCUACCUGUAAGCUAUCGCCUGAAGAGGGGUUUGCGUCUGAUUAGCUGGUUGGAGGGGUAACGGCCCACCAAGGCGACGAUCAGUAGCCGGUCUGAGAGGAUGAACGGCCACACUGGAACUGAGACACGGUCCAGACUCCUACGGGAGGCAGCAGUGGGGAAUCUUCCGCAAUGGGCGAAAGCCUGACGGAGCAACGCCGCGUGAGUGAUGACGGCCUUCGGGUUGUAAAACUCUGUGAUCCGGGACGAAAAGGCAGAGUGCGAAGAACAAACUGCAUUGACGGUACCGGAAAAGCAAGCCACGGCUAACUACGUGCCAGCAGCCGCGGUAAUACGUAGGUGGCAAGCGUUGUCCGGAAUUAUUGGGCGUAAAGCGCGCGCAGGCGGCUUCCCAAGUCCCUCUUAAAAGUGCGGGGCUUAACCCCGUGAUGGGAAGGAAACUGGGAAGCUGGAGUAUCGGAGAGGAAAGUGGAAUUCCUAGUGUAGCGGUGAAAUGCGUAGAGAUUAGGAAGAACACCGGUGGCG